Molecule: transfer-messenger RNA, 69 nt
Filed under: Escherichia coli
Lineage: Bacteria; Pseudomonadati; Pseudomonadota; Gammaproteobacteria; Enterobacterales; Enterobacteriaceae
Description: partial transfer-messenger RNA
Rfam family: transfer-messenger RNA
About the family: Bacterial tmRNA, also known as 10Sa RNA or SsrA, is named for its dual tRNA and mRNA-like properties.
Source: RNAcentral
AAACUACACACGUAGAAAGAUGUGUAUCAGGACCUCUGGACGCGGGUUCAAAUCCCGCCGUCUCCAUAU